UGGUCACGGAAAAUGAGUGGGUGACAUAAUCGAGGGCGCGUUAGAAUUGAGUAAAUACGGUAAUCAAACCGUGGUUUUGGCACGUAAAACGGCAGAAUUUUUUUAUGUGAACACAUCCAGUGCUGAACAUGAAAGUGAUCAUAUCUCGUAUCCCCGAAAGUGAUUGACCAAGAAUAUGGCUCUUUCGCACAAAUCUUUUCGCGACACCUAAUGAGCACGCAAUGCCUGGUGGGUGGUACCAAAACCAGCAUUUUGAAGCAGAAGAGGCGUAUUCUCGGACGAUCGCUUAAUCACGGCCAGAUGCAUGGCAGCACACACUGCAACUGCCAUCUCAAGCACCAGAAACAAGUCCACAACACUGGGACCUAAAUUUCGUUGUUUCUACUAUACCUUUGUCACCGAGCCGCAGAUUAUGCAAUGCGCUAGGUACGCAAAAACCGUUGUCACAUGUUGGUGAGACAUGCAGCUCGGUCAUUUGAAACGAGAAAACAAGAUGGCAGCCAUGACCGGUCAUGACGGGUUUCCAGUGUACACGGUCGUUUCCGGUGCUUGGUUGCUUUUUGUAAAGAUCAAUGGUGGCAGCCACGCUAGUGUAAUGUGGUGGUAUUUUACGCAAUUUAAGUAUGAAGCAAAGGCAUUUGAGCACUUGAGUCUGGUAUCCUUGUGCAACUAAGUAGUAAGGGGGCAACUCGCCGUUAAACUUUGUUGAUGUGGGAUUGCAGUUCAGCGAUAUUUCAUCGUCGAGAGAUAUGAGAUGCAUUGAAUCCUAUGGGCAUUCGCGGGAGAUACGAAAAUAUUUCGUCUCAGGAUUUCAUUAUCUCAGGUUUCGAGUGUGGUUGAUUUUCAAGCCAUUUAUUGUUGGCAGAAGAAACUUGUGGUGGCUGCCUGCUUGGCAGUUUCGCCCUUUGUGAUAAAAGCAUACUCCAGCUGCCCGAAACUUGUCAUGUGAUGUUCAUCACCGCCACUGCUCUCAACUUUGUUUCUAAGCAGCCGUAACAAAUGACCUGGCUCAGCUAAGGUAGUGCGCGGAUCCACAAACAUAGAAAUGCUGGGCACAGCAUAUAAGCAAACUGACAAUGCUCCUUGCACAUGAGCAUGCAUCCUGCAGAAGUCACAUGUACCUCUUUGGGCUUAUUGCGCUUCGUGAGGUUUCAGAGCAAUGCUCCUCCCAUGUUAUCAAUGAGAUCGCAGCUGGCUGUGAACGGUGAAUGAGAGUGGCAUUUGGAAAGUUAUGGAAACCAUUGUGUAGUGAUUUUCCCCAAUGUUUUCGCAUUCGAUAUCUUGAGAUAUCCUGAGUACGGUGCAAAAGCAUUUCGAAAUAAGAGUUAAAUAAGUAAAAAAAUUUCAACUUGACUGAUAAUUCGAGAUAUCAGUUUAAAUUAACGAGGUUUUACUGUAUAUCCGAUGUAUACAAUUGACGGCCGAUAAUUCGGACUCCAGAGGGAAGUUAAAUAAGUCCGAA
RNAcentral lists this long non-coding RNA (1462 nucleotides) under Dermacentor andersoni. RNAcentral's name for it is "uncharacterized LOC126527027". The record is from RNAcentral. Lineage: Eukaryota; Metazoa; Arthropoda; Arachnida; Ixodida; Ixodidae.